AACAAAAUCAAUGGAUUAGAUUCUUUGUAUGUGAGUAUUUUCUGAAAUGAGGCAUCUAUCACAAGUCUCAUGCCUCGUUUAAUCCAUUGUUUUGGUGUUAGUGAAUUCUCAUACAGAUCUUGGAAGCUUGACAGAUACACUGUAGAGAAGUGGCUGCAGCAGAGCAAAGAGCAAAAGACAUGGACAAAGCUGACCCUGGAUCAAACUGCCAGGCUAGGCUGAGCAGAUCUCCAGACCACAGCGGUCCGCAGGAAGAAAAGAGGUUUUGCUCCAAGAACAAUGCACACGUAACAGACAAAUGAGGCGAAGCUUACGUAGCAGCUUUGUCGCCUGCUUACUGAACAGAAGGAGCAUCCUUCCCACAACUGAGGAGCCUUUCUAGGAGCCAGAAUCCCACCAGCUUGAUGCUCUGGAUAAAUGAUGGCUGCCAUGCUUGAGAUUCGACAUUCCAGAAUAAUCUGCUGCCUUGCCUACCAACGGAACAGGGCGAUGCAAAGAUAAUAGAAAGAAGAAAAAUGAAUCUUCAAAAUGGGAGAAGAAAAUGGGAGACUGUCCCAGCGUUGAACUAGAGAAAAGUUGGGGUGACAGGAGCUGUGCCCAACCUAGCACUGACAACUAGUAAUGGCAAAGCUGGAAGGAAGAGAUAGAAGAAGAAAGUGCAUGUCACAGAAAGAGUGAAAGAUGUGCCAAUGACAGGAAUUAAGUUCUGUUUACUGUCUCAUCUGUCCCUUAAGGAGCACCAGGGGAAGAAGUAAUUUCAAAACUGCAUCUUUUGUGCUUACACAUCAAUUUUGAUUUAUGGUAGGUACUGGUACUUCAAACAUUCCAUUUUCUAUAACUAGGAAAGAUGAAGAAAAUAAACUGUUUAAACUAG
Non-coding RNA from Rattus norvegicus (Norway rat), 874 nucleotides. Lineage: Eukaryota; Metazoa; Chordata; Mammalia; Rodentia; Muridae. The record is from RefSeq and is a predicted model, not a curated record.